RNAcentral lists this transfer RNA (68 nucleotides) under Lepilemur tymerlachsoni. RNAcentral's name for it is "tRNA-Lys". It matches the Rfam family "tRNA". From Rfam's summary of the family: Transfer RNA (tRNA) molecules are approximately 80 nucleotides in length. Lineage: Eukaryota; Metazoa; Chordata; Mammalia; Primates; Lepilemuridae. The record is from RNAcentral.
CACCGUGAAGCUAAUCAAGCAUUAACCUUUUAAGUUAAAAACUGAAAGUCUAAAUCUUUCCACAGUGA